GUCUUGUAAACCACAGAAGGCUUAAGCCCUAAGGCUUACGCAAAAGUGGCCGACUUAGG
Molecule: transfer RNA, 59 nt
Filed under: Lamprotula caveata
Lineage: Eukaryota; Metazoa; Mollusca; Bivalvia; Unionida; Unionidae
Description: tRNA-Tyr
Source: RNAcentral